CCUGGUAGUCCACGCCCGUAGACUAUGAACACUCGCUGUUGGCCAUACACAGUCAGCGGCUGAGCGAAAGCGCUAAGUGUUCCACCUGGGAAGUACGAUCGCAAGGUUGAAACUCAAAGGAAUCGACGGGGGCCCGCACAAACGGAGGAGCAUGUGGGUCAAUUCGAUGAUACGCGAGGAACCUUACCUGGGCUUAAAUGUAUAUUGACGUACUGAGAAAUCAGUAUUUCUUCGGACAAUUGACAAGCUGCUGCAUGGUCGUCGUCAGCUCGUGCCGUGAGGUGUCGGUCUAAGUCCCAUAACGAGCGCAACCCCUACUUGUAGUUACCAGCAUUUCGGAUGGGGACUCUAGAGGAACUGCCUACGCAAGUAGAGAGGAAGGUGGGGAUGACGUCAAAUCAGCACGGCCCUUAUGUCCAGGGCUACACACGUGCUACAAUGGCCGGUACAGAGGGCAGCUACAUAGCAAUAUGAUGCUAAUCUCCAAAGCCGGUCUCAGUCCGGAUUGGAGUCUGCAACUCGACUCCAUGAAGCUGGAUUCGCUAGUAAUCGCACAUCUGCAAUGGUGCGGUGAAUACGUUCCCGGGCAUUGUACACACCGCCCGUCAAGCCAUGGAAGUUGG
This 623-nucleotide ribosomal RNA is filed under the name uncultured organism. Its description in RNAcentral is "bacterial SSU rRNA". It matches the Rfam family "Bacterial small subunit ribosomal RNA", at positions 786 to 1414 of the family's 1533-position model. The record is from RNAcentral.